CAAGUCGACGAGUUCUCGUUGAUGAUCGGUGCUUGCACCGAGAUUCAACAUGGAACGAGUGGCGGACGGGUGAAUAACACGUGGGUAACCUGCCCUUAAGUGGGGGAUAACAUUUGGAAACAGAUGCUAAUACCGCAUAGAUCCAAGAACCGCAUGGUUCUUGGCUGAAAGAUGGCGUAAGCUAUCGCUUUUGGAUGGACCCGCGGCGUAUUAGCUAGUUGGUGAGGUAAUGGCUCACCAAGGCGAUGAUACGUAGCCGAACUGAGAGGUUGAUCGGCCACAUUGGGACUGAGACACGGCCCAAACUCCUACGGGAGGCAGCAGUAGGGAAUCUUCCACAAUGGACGCAAGUCUGAUGGAGCAGCGCCGCGUGAGUGAAGAAGGCUUUCGGGUCGUAAAACUCUGUUGUUGGAGAAGAAUGGUCGGCAGAGUAACUGUUGUCGGCGUGACGGUAUCCAACCAGAAAGCCACGGCUAACUACGUGCCAGCAGCCGCGGUAAUACGUAGGUGGCAAGCGUUAUCCGGAUUUAUUGGGCGUAAAGCGAGCGCAGGCGGUUUUUUAAGUCUGAUGUGAAAGCCCUCGGCUUAACCGAGGAAGCGCAUCGGAAACUGGGAAACUUGAGUGCAGAAGAGGACAGUGGAACUCCAUGUGUAGCGGUGAAAUGCGUAGAUAUAUGGAAGAACACCAGUGGCGAAGGCGGCUGUCUGGUCUGUAACUGACGCUGAGGCUCGAAAGCAUGGGUAGCGAACAGGAUUAGAUACCCUGGUAGUCCAUGCCGUAAACGAUGAAUGCUAGGUGUUGGA
Molecule: ribosomal RNA, 804 nt
Filed under: uncultured bacterium
Lineage: Bacteria
Description: bacterial SSU rRNA
Rfam family: Bacterial small subunit ribosomal RNA
Source: RNAcentral